Molecule: RNA transcript, 2002 nt
Organism: Rhododendron vialii
Lineage: Eukaryota; Viridiplantae; Streptophyta; Magnoliopsida; Ericales; Ericaceae
Exons: 7
Source: RefSeq, a predicted model, not a curated record
UUGAAGAAACCAUGAUCGUGGAUUGCUUGAAAGAGAAGCUUAAACAUAGUGCAAGCAGUCAAGAUCAAUCUCGAAAUCAACUUACCUUCUAUCAACAUCGCUUAUGCUCCCUAUGUUUACAAACUACGUAGUGAUAGUUAUGAUACCUCCUAUGCAAAAACCAUUCAUAUAAAUGAAACAAAGCACGUUUCUACGCAUUCAAUUCAAUGGCCAAUGAGCACAAAACUACAUGCAUUGCACGUCGCAUUAACACUAGUUAUUGUUAAAAUGAUUUCGAAUCCAGUUCUUCUUACAUCAAAUUUCAUAAUCGAGAUCCAUAUGUUGUAUACUAGAACCCAAAACAAAUCAACAGAGAGGUAUUGGGGGUAUUAGUAGUAUAUCAAUACACUUUAGGUAAUAAUGCCUUUGACUCAUCUCUGGCUACUAACAAUUCCAAUGUUGACGGGUUGGGAGUACCUAUUGAUGGAAGAGGGUCUCUAGGCGAUCACGAGCGAAGACGUGUUUAAGUGAAAGCGCCUGGGAUUAUUGAACGUAAAUCUGUGUAGUAAUAAAAGAGCCAACUCUGCCUUGCCAAGCCACGGGAUGGAAUUGCCAAAUUGCCCUCCUCAACUUUGUUUUGCAAUUUGUUCUUGCAUGUGUUGAGUUGGGAGUAGUUUAGGUAUUGUAUCUUUUCCUUAUUUCACUCAAUUACCUUGUACUUCCUCAGCCGUCCCUAGAUUUCUGGCCGAUUUCCUCCUGGAUUUGCUGGAUUUUGUGUGGCUUGAGAAAAGCUAUUGAUCAAAAAAGAAAGUUAAUCUUCCAACCAUCUCUCUCUCAAAACCAUGUCUCUCUCUCAAUCGCUGCCAAAUCAAGGUUUUUUGUGGAAACGAAGGAGGCGAUUCUACGAACUCCGUUGCAUCACCGGUGGUAUGGAUGUUGACGGCGGUACUGGGUUUCCCUCUCUCGUUGGUUCGAGAAGUGAAUUCGAUGGGAUAUAUUGGACUACUCACGUCAAUGUGCCACUGUUGAAACAAUGGAUAAGCUAUUCAAAUUGGCGGAGGUGCUUUUAGGUUUAUUGAGCGUAUGGAAUGUUUUCUUUCCUUGGACACCUGCAAGAGCCAUUUUACCCUAUUCUCAAACCUUGGAGAAGCUUGCGCCUCAUAUUCAACAGGUUAGUAUGGAAAGCAACGGAAAAGGGGUGUCAAUUGAUGGUGUGGCUCUUCCCUACGAGAGUGGUGAAAUAACCAGGAACAAAUGGUCAGCACAGCUUUUACCAACCAGGGGCGAGUAGUAGUUCCUUGUGAUUUUAUUGGUGGGUGUUGUGACGAGUCAGCAACCUGUGCACUUGAAAGAUAAAAUUCGGCUCACCAGAAAGCGUAAGUUUCCCACGUUUUUGGGUAACAAUGUCAUACAAGAAGGGCGAUCUAACGUGCUACAACCAGUUCGGAUUAGAAGCUCAUUGUUUUGCCAGAAUCCCAGGGAGGUAUAAAACCCAGGAAGGGGUCCCCAAGUGGAUACACAAAACCGGAUACACGAAACCAGCUGGAUUCCGGAUCAUCAUCAUCAACCUCCUUCAUCAACCAGAGCACAAAUGUUGUACACCCAUCCUCAUAGAAAGAACAGAUAACUACCAGUGAGUCCCUUAGCAAUUUUUGCUGUGGAAUUUUCUUCGGUCAUCAGUAUAUGGGAACAAGUUGAACUUUUUUGGCAGAGGUGUCACUCUAAAAACCUCUUCACCCAUGUCAAAUGAAGCAACUGCCGUGGAAAACACCAUCAUUGGUGUACAUGCUGUUAUCCGUAAAACAAAGUUCUACAUCUUGGAAAUUACCACAGAUUGGGAGGAACCUCCAACAACCAGAACUCGACGUGUACACCUCAGCGCAAUUAACCUCGUCAUCCCCUACCUCGAAAGAUACAAGUUUAAUGACUUUGUAAGUUUUAGCUUUGCCAUCAAAACCAAACCCUACCAUGCAAUAACUGACCGGCUUAUAUGGUGGGAAGUCGAACAACGAUUUGGGGAGCA